This 472-nucleotide ribosomal RNA is filed under the name uncultured bacterium. RNAcentral describes it as "bacterial SSU rRNA". It matches the Rfam family "Bacterial small subunit ribosomal RNA", at positions 355 to 825 of the family's 1533-position model. The record is from RNAcentral.
UGGGGAAUAUUGGACAAUGGGCGCAAGCCUGAUCCAGCCAUGCCGCGUGCGGGAAGAAGGCCUUCGGGUUGUAAACCGCUUUUGUCAGGGAAGAAACGCUCUGGGCUAAUACCCUGGGGUAAUGACGGUACCUGAAGAAUAAGCACCGGCUAACUACGUGCCAGCAGCCGCGGUAAUACGUAGGGUGCAAGCGUUAAUCGGAAUUACUGGGCGUAAAGCGUGCGCAGGCGGUUGUGUAAGUCAGAUGUGAAAUCCCCGGGCUCAACCUGGGAAUUGCAUUUGAGACUGCACGGCUAGAGUGUGUCAGAGGGGGGCAGAAUUCCACGUGUAGCAGUGAAAUGCGUAGAUAUGUGGAGGAAUACCGAUGGCGAAGGCAGCCCCCUGGGAUAACACUGACGCUCAUGCACGAAAGCGUGGGGAGCAAACAGGAUUAGAUACCCAUGUAGUCCCUGAGCGGGCUGGCAAGGCGCAU